Molecule: ribosomal RNA, 466 nt
Filed under: uncultured bacterium
Lineage: Bacteria
Description: partial 16S ribosomal RNA
Rfam family: Bacterial small subunit ribosomal RNA
Source: RNAcentral
GACGAACGCUGGCGGCGCGCCUAACACAUGCAAGUCGAACGAGCGAGAGGAGGUUUACUUUCUCAAGCGAGUGGCGAACGGGUGAGUAACGCGUGAGGAACCUGCCUCAAAGAGGGGGACAACAGUUGGAAACGACUGCUAACACCGCAUAAGCCCACGACCCGGCAUCGGGUAGAGGGAAAAGGAGCAAUCCGCUUUGAGAUGGCCUCGCGUCCGAUUAGCUAGUUGGUGAGGUAAUGGCCCACCAAGGCGACGAUCGGUAGCCGGACUGAGAGGUUGAACGGCCACAUUGGGACUGAGACACGGCCCAGACUCCUACGGGAGGCAGCAGUGGGGAAUAUUGCACAAUGGGGGAAACCCUGAUGCAGCGACGCCGCGUGGAGGAAGAAGGUCUUCGGAUUGUAAACUCCUGUUGUGGAGGAAGAUAAUGACGGUACUCAACAAGGAAGUGACGGCUAACUACGUG